Heterocephalus glaber (naked mole-rat) is the source of this 2013-nucleotide non-coding RNA. The record is from RefSeq and is a predicted model, not a curated record. NCBI's taxonomy places the organism in Eukaryota, Metazoa, Chordata, Mammalia, Rodentia, Bathyergidae.
UGGAACCUGCAGUGCAGGAAGCAGCAGAGGAGGGCAGUGAGCAACUGCACCCGCAAGCAGAGGGAUGGAGCGGCCCAGCGGGAGGCGGUGCAGAGUGUUUCCCUAGAGAGGGGCUAAUGGUUGGGGAACUACAUCCCUGGCAGAAGUGGGAAGUCAGGCCCAAAACAGAAAGAUUCUCCCUUCCUCCUUGGGGCAGGUAUCCGGGCAGAAUGCUACAGGCGGUAGGAAGAUGAUAAACAGGAAAUGCCUUGUGCAACGCAGCAGAAUCCAAGCCAGAGCCAGCCUUUGGGAACUGCGUUAACUUUUCACUACGGCAAACACCAACACAGUGAGAGAAAACCGCUUGCUGGUGUUGAGCUGCAGCCAGCCCACCCCUGGGAACCGGCUGUUUGCUGCUGUUUGGAGCUGGCUACCACAUACACUGCCUUUAGCAAGCUCUGUAUUGGCAUUUAGUGUCUGGGGUAUAGAUACAACUUCUUUGUAAGUCACAGCGUCAUCUACCGACACUGUAACAAUAUGGAACAGCAGUAAAUUGCAUCACACAUCUACAGCUGUGCUGCGCAACUGCAUGGCAGGGCUCGCCUUAGGACGUCACCUAACAGCCACAGGUCUGCUCACGUGACCUGUGCCUUGCACCUUUGGAAUCUGCUCAACUCUGGUCUCCUCAAAUGUAAUUUAGUUCCUGUGUCUUAAAGUGCACUAGUGAGUGACACAGUGGUGCUAUCCACAGAUUUACCACCUUCUUCCUGUUUGUGCCUCAAUACAAGCGACCAACUCUUCAUACCAGACAGUGACAUUGUGUCAAGGAACAGAAGAGUUGAUGCUAGAGAGUCCAAAAUUAUAGGUGUCAACUGAAGAAAAUCUGUGAUAACCGGAGCACUGAGAUCCAUUCACUGGACUGAAGAAAUUCCAGUCUCAUUGAAAAUCAUUUCAAGUUUUCAGUAACAUACACUUUGAGUUCUGAGACUCCUAUCUUAUUUCCUCCACAUAAUUGCUUCCAUAAACACUUUUUGAUAGUGAAAAAUAUCUGGAUGACAUGGAGCAAAAUAAUGAACAGCAUGUAGACUGGCCAAAAACCAGGGGAAGCGUCCUUGGAUGGCAGCCAUCAUAAACUCCACUUACAGCUUAUGAAAGUGCUCACUCGCCCCCAAAUUCCUGUGACAAGCUUCAGCGUGAAGUGCAAUCGCCACAUUCAGUUUCAAAGUUCAAAUGCCAGUUCCUUUAAUAGAAGCUGAGCCCGGUGAUGUGUUCAACAUCUGUAACCCGUGCUCUGUGUAACAUUAACAACUCUUCAAUCCAUGAAGAUCCACUCUUCUCAUGCUAUGAGGGUGGAAAAUAAAGAAGUCACCAGGGAACACACAGAUCGCUUCCUUCAAUCAGCUCUCCACCUCUCCCACUUCAUCUGUUAUGAGAUUUUGGAAAUGGCAGCUGCUCCUCCAUCUGCCCACCACCUCACCUUCAGUCUCUUCCCAGCCCCACUCCUCACUCUGGCUCUAAGGGGAACAACCCGGGUACAACAGAGUCCUUGACCAGCAUGUACUUGGCAUCUGUCCCAACACUCAGAGGAACAAGACUCAGAAAUCCAUGGCAGUCAACUGCUCCCUGAGGCUAAUACCCAGCCACCCCAUCCUUACUACUUCAGCUGUGAAACAGAAGCAAUCAGUAACAGAUUUGUGGAUCAAUGGAACAAAAUAGAGGACACAGAAGUGACCCCAGGCAGAUUCAGCCACCUGAUCUUUGACAAAGGGGCCAAAAACAUCCGCUGGAGGAAAGAUGGUCUCUUUAACAAAUGGUGCUGGAAAACUAGCUAUCCACAUGCAGCAGAUGAAAGACAGUUGGGACGGCUGCCUGCGAAGAAGAUCUCAUGUGGAAUCGCCAUGUUCAAGACAUGGCAGCUCAUGGAUCCAGCCCAGGCUGCGAGGGGAAAGCCUACGCAGGUCUCUGUCCAGCUGUUAUGGCCUGUGAGCUGCUGCAUGGGAACUUCCUGCUCCAUGCGACAGAGUGAAAGCCUAG